RNAcentral lists this ribosomal RNA (506 nucleotides) under uncultured bacterium. RNAcentral describes it as "partial 16S ribosomal RNA". It matches the Rfam family "Bacterial small subunit ribosomal RNA", at positions 29 to 523 of the family's 1533-position model. The record is from RNAcentral.
AGUGAACGCUGGCGGUAGGCCUAACGCAUGCAAGUCGAACGGCAGCACAGGAGAGCUUGCUCUUUGGGUGGCGAGUGGCGGACGGGUGAGGAAUACAUCGGAAUCUACUUUUUCGUGGGGGAUAACGUAGGGAAACUUACGCUAAUACCGCAUACGACCUACGGGUGAAAGCAGGGGAUCUUCGGACCUUGCGCGAUUGAAUGAGCCGGUGUCGGAUUAGCUGGUUGGCGGGGUAAAGGCCCACCAAGGCGACGAUCCGUAGCUGGUCUGGAAGUAUGCACAGCCACACGGGAACUGAAGCACGGUCCAGACUCCUACGGGAGGAAGCAGUGGGGAAUAUUGGACAAUGGGCGCAAGCCUGAUCCAGCCAUACCGCGUGGGUGAAGAAGGCCUUCGGGUUGUAAAGCCCUUUUGUUGGGAAAGAAAUCCAGCUGGUUAAUACCCGGUUGGGAUGACGGUACCCAAAGAAUAAGCACCGGCUAACUUCGUGCCAGCCGCCGCCGUAA